GCGUAAAGAGCUCGUAGGUGGUUUGUCGCGUUGUUCGUGAAAUCUCACGGCUUAACUGUGAGCGUGCGGGCGAUACGGGCAGACUUGAGUACUGCAGGGGAGACUGGAAUUCUUGGUGUAGCGGUGGAAUGCGCAGAUAUCAGGAGGAACACCGGUGGCGAAGGCGGGUCUCUGGGCAGUAACUGACGCUGAGGAGCGAAAGCGUGGGGAGCGAACAGGAUUAGAUACCCUGGUAGUCCACGCCGUAAACGGUGGGUACUAGGUGUGGGUUUCCUUCCUUGGGAUCCGUGCCGUAGCUAACGCAUUAAGUACCCCGCCUGGGGAGUACGGCCGCGAGGCUAAAACUCAAAGAAAUUGACGGGGGCCCGCACAAGCGGCGGAGCAUGUGGAUUAAUUCGAUGCAACGCGAAGAACCUUACCUGGGUUUGACAUGCACAGGACGCCGGCAGAGAUGUCGGUUCCCUUGUGGCCUGUGUGCAGGUGGUGCAUGGCUGUCGUCAGCUCGUGUCGUGAGAUGUUGGGUUAAGUCCCGCAACGAGCGCAACCCUUGUCUCAUGUUGCCAGCGGGUAAUGCCGGGGACUCGUGAGAGACUGCCGGGGUCAACUCGGAGGAAGGUGGGGAUGACGUCAAGUCAUCAUGCCCCUUAUGUCCAGGGCUUCACACAUGCUACAAUGGCCGGUACAAAGGGCUGCGAUGCCGCGAGGUUAAGCGAAUCCUUUUAAAGCCGGUCUCAGUUCGGAUCGGGGUCUGCAACUCGACCCCGUGAAGUCGGAGUCGCUAGUAAUCGCAGAUCAGCAACGCUGCGGUGAAUA
RNAcentral lists this ribosomal RNA (813 nucleotides) under uncultured Mycobacterium sp. RNAcentral describes it as "bacterial SSU rRNA". It matches the Rfam family "Bacterial small subunit ribosomal RNA", at positions 558 to 1368 of the family's 1533-position model. The record is from RNAcentral. Lineage: Bacteria; Bacillati; Actinomycetota; Actinomycetes; Mycobacteriales; Mycobacteriaceae.